This 639-nucleotide ribosomal RNA is filed under the name Triticum aestivum (bread wheat). RNAcentral describes it as "partial small subunit ribosomal RNA". Lineage: Eukaryota; Viridiplantae; Streptophyta; Magnoliopsida; Poales; Poaceae. The record is from RNAcentral.
AUGUCUCACGUCGCAGACUUUUCUUUGCAGGCCAACGAAACCCCGUGCACCAUAUUGUACACCAUCGGUGAACAGAAGGUGGACGUGGGGAAGGGGACGAUAAUGGAGCCGAAGGAACCAUUGUUCCACAGCCGGUCGAUCCCCCCGAACGUCUUCAAGGUUUCCGUGGCCAGUGUCAAACCGGGCCACGAGAAUUUGCCUCCUCUAAUACUAGUGGGGGAUGAUGACGAGACCCCGUGGCAGCUUGGUGAUUGUUGCAAUGGGUGGGUCUUGUUGUGGCCAAAGAGUCUGCUUCGUCUGGAGGCGGCCGGGAGCACACCCACGAGCACGCAGCCUCAGCAAGGUAUGAACAUCAACACCCCACCUACCCAAUUAGCGUCGGGUGUCGGGUUGGGUGAUAGCGGACGGGGUAAGCAGGUGGCUCCGUUAGUCGCUGAUGACGUCGCCAUGGAUGAGGAUGACGAUGACGAUGGUGCUGAACAGUAUGUCUAUACUGGCGCCUCCUCAGGGUUUGAGCGUCAUGAGUCGGUGCUUGAAUUAUCAUCUCAACGUAUUAUUGACGACCAUCCGGUGGUAAAGAAGUCUAGGAAGAGAGCGAGGAAAGGCAAAAAAGCUAAUUCUAUGAUCCAGCCGCCUUAG